UACAGAGGGUGCGAGCGUUAAUCGGAAUUACUGGGCGUAAAGCGCACGUAGGUGGCGACGUAAGUCGGGUGUGAAAGCCCCGGGCUCAACCUGGGAAUUGCAUUCGAGACUGCAUUGCUGGAGUACGGAAGAGGAAGGCGGAAUUCCCGGUGUAGCGGUGAAAUGCGUAGAUAUCGGGAGGAACAUCAGUGGCGAAGGCGGCCUUCUGGUCCAGUACUGACACUCAAGUGCGAAAGCGUGGGUAGCAAACAGG
RNAcentral lists this ribosomal RNA (253 nucleotides) under uncultured bacterium. RNAcentral describes it as "partial 16S ribosomal RNA". It matches the Rfam family "Bacterial small subunit ribosomal RNA", at positions 524 to 776 of the family's 1533-position model. The record is from RNAcentral.